Molecule: long non-coding RNA, 1482 nt
Filed under: Sinocyclocheilus grahami
Lineage: Eukaryota; Metazoa; Chordata; Actinopteri; Cypriniformes; Cyprinidae
Description: lncRNA (ENSSGRG00000035023.1)
Source: RNAcentral
GUCUCCCUAGUCCCGCUAGUUCGGUCGCUGGGGGCCUGGUUAGCGCUCCCCAGGCCGUCUCGCUGGCUCAUGAGAACCAUCAGACUCGGCUACGCGAUUCAAUUCACCCGGCGCCCUCCCAAGUUCAGGGGCAUUCGGUUCACCUCUGUGCCAGACAAGGAUGCUCCUGUCUUGCGUGCAGAGAUCGCGGUCCUGCUAGCGAAGGACGCGAUACAGCCGGUCCCUCCAGCCGAGAUGAGGUCGGGUUUCUACAGCCCAUACUUCAUUGUACCCAAGAAAGGCGGUGGGUUACGACCGAUCCUGGACCUGCGCGUACUGAACCGGACCCUUCACAAGCUCCCGUUCAGGAUGUUGACGCAGAAACGCAUCUUUCAAUGCGUCCGUCCUUUCGAUUGGUUCGCAGUGGUCGACCUCAAGGACGCGUACUUUCAUGUCUCGAUUCUCCCUCGACACAGACCGUUUCUCCGCUUUGCGUUCGAAGGGCGAGCAUAUCAGUACAAGGUCCUCCCCGUCGGGCUAUCCCUGUCGCCUCGUGUCUUCACCAAGGUCGUGGAGGCAGCCCUCAUUCCAUUGAGGGAAGCAGGCAUUCGCGUUCUCAACUACCUCGAAGACUGGCUCAUACUGGCCCAGUCCCGAGCACAGUUGUGCGAACACAGGGAUAUGGUGCUCAGUCACCUCAGCCGAUUGGGGCUUCGGGUCAACUGGGAAAAGAGCAAACUCUCUCCGGUGCAGAGGAUCUCUUUUCUCGGCAUGGAGCUGGACUCGGUCAACCUCUCAGCACGUCUCUCAGUAGAGCGCGCGCAGUCGAUGCUGAACUGCCUGGGGUCCUUCCAGUGCAAGACGGCGGUUCCACUGAAACAAUUUCAGAGGCUCCUGGGGCAUAUGGCAUCCGCAGCCGCUGUCACGCCGCUCGGGUUGCUUCAUAUGAGACCGCUUCAGCGUUGGCUUCACGACCGGGUCCCGAGAUGGGCAUGGCGACACGGCACUUACCGGGUUUCUGUUACCCCGUUCUGCCGUCAGACCCUCAGCCCAUGGACAGAUCUUGCCUUUCUUCGGACAGGAGUAUCCCUUGGGCAAGUAUCCAGGCAUGUUGUUGUGUCAACAGAUGCCUCCGCCAGGGGCUGGGGUGCCAUGUGCAGUGGGAAUGCAGCUGCGGGGCUCUGGUCGGGGCCCCGACUACAGUGGCAUAUCAACUGCCUCGAGUUGCAAGCAGUAUGGCUGGCUCUGCGCCGCUUCAGAUCGCUGCUACACGACAAGCACGUACUGGUCCGUACGGACAACACUGCGACCGUUGCGUACAUCAACCACCAGGGCGGUCUACGCUCCCGUCGCAUGUCGCAACUCGCCCGCCAUCUCCUCCUCUGGAGUCAGAAGCAUCUGAGGUCGCUUCGCGCCGUUCACAUCCCAGGCGAGCUCAAUCGUGCAGCCGACGAGCUCUCACGUCAGCCCGCCCUUCCGGGAGAAUGGCGACUCCACCCCGAG